CGCCUGCCCUAUGAGGAUUUAAAUGGCCGCGGUACUUUGACCGUGCAAAGGUAGCAUAAUCAUUAGUUUUUUAAUUGAAAGCUGGUAUGAAAGGUUGGAUGAGAAAAUGACUGUCUCUAUUUAAGUUUUUUAGAAUUUUAUCUUUAAGUAAAAAAGCUUAAAUAUAAAUAGAAGACGAGAAGACCCUAUAGAGUUUUAAUUUGGUUGGGGUGAUUGAAAAAUUGAAAAAAUUUUUUUUUUAUUAUAACAUUAAUUUAUGAGUAGUUGAUCCUUAAAUUAAGAUUACAAGAAAAAAUUACCUUAGGGAUAACAGCGUAAUUUUUUUAAAGAGUUCAAAUCGAAAAAAAAGAUUGCGACCUCGAUGUUGGAUUAAAAUAAAAUUUUGGUGUAGGGGCUAA
This 398-nucleotide ribosomal RNA is filed under the name Celebia sp. 1 EMC-2007. Its description in RNAcentral is "partial 16S ribosomal RNA". It matches the Rfam family "Bacterial large subunit ribosomal RNA", at positions 1856 to 2565 of the family's 2925-position model. Lineage: Eukaryota; Metazoa; Arthropoda; Insecta; Coleoptera; Curculionidae. The record is from RNAcentral.